RNAcentral lists this non-coding RNA (68 nucleotides) under Spodoptera frugiperda (fall armyworm). Lineage: Eukaryota; Metazoa; Arthropoda; Insecta; Lepidoptera; Noctuidae. The record is from RNAcentral.
AAUAGAUGGCGCUGAAGCUAACCCAAUUAGUAAAUUGGUCAAGCGAGAUUUUUUGCGGUAUUUUAAAC